This 909-nucleotide ribosomal RNA is filed under the name Akanthomyces sp. RNAcentral's name for it is "partial large subunit ribosomal RNA". It matches the Rfam family "Eukaryotic large subunit ribosomal RNA", at positions 48 to 983 of the family's 3401-position model. Lineage: Eukaryota; Fungi; Ascomycota; Sordariomycetes; Hypocreales; Cordycipitaceae. The record is from RNAcentral.
ACGGGGAAGCAAGACAACAGGGAUUGCCCCAGUAACGGCGAGUGAAGCGGCAACAGCUCAAAUUUGAAAUCUGGCCCCCAGGGCCCGAGUUGUAAUUUGCAGAGGAUGCUUUUGGCGACGCGCCUUCCGAGUUCCCUGGAACGGGACGCCAUAGAGGGUGAGAGCCCCGUCUGGUUGGACGCCGAGCCUCUGUAAAGCUCCUUCGACGAGUCGAGUAGUUUGGGAAUGCUGCUCUAAAUGGGAGGUAUAUGUCUUCUAAAGCUAAAUACCGGCCAGAGACCGAUAGCGCACAAGUAGAGUGAUCGAAAGAUGAAAAGCACUUUGAAAAGAGGGUUAAAUAGUACGUGAAAUUGUUGAAAGGGAAGCGCUCACGACCAGACUUGAGCCCGGUGAAUCAUCCAGCGUUCUCGCUGGUGCACUUCGCCGGGCCCAGGCCAGCAUCGGUUCGCCGCGGGGGAGAAAGGCGUCGGGAACGUGGCUCCCUCGGGAGUGUUAUAGCCCGUCGCACAAUACCCUGGGGCGGACCGAGGUUCGCGCAUCUGCAAGGAUGCUGGCGUAAUGGUCGUCAGCGACCCGUCUUGAAACACGGACCAAGGAGUCGUCUUCGUAUGCGAGUGUUCGGGUGUAAAACCCCUACGCGUAAUGAAAGUGAACGCAGGUGAGAGCUUCGGCGCAUCAUCGACCGAUCCUGAUGUUCUCGGAUGGAUUUGAGUAAGAGCAUACGGGGCCGGACCCGAAAGAAGGUGAACUAUGCCUGUGUAGGGUGAAGCCAGAGGAAACUCUGGUGGAGGCUCGCAGCGGUUCUGACGUGCAAAUCGAUCGUCAAACAUGGGCAUGGGGGCGAAAGACUAAUCGAACCUUCUAGUAGCUGGUUUCCGCCGAGCUUCCCCUCCCCCAAGAAAGGAAACC